Non-coding RNA from Zootermopsis nevadensis, 286 nucleotides. Lineage: Eukaryota; Metazoa; Arthropoda; Insecta; Blattodea; Termopsidae. The record is from RefSeq and is a predicted model, not a curated record.
AAUGGCUCGACCCAUCAUCAUUUACGGAAGUACUACCAUAACCUCACAUUAAUUUUCGAGUGAAAUUGGGUGUCCGAGUACUGACAAUUAACAGGGAAAACUUUACAUUCCGACUAAGAAUUUCUCAGCUAGUUCCAGAUAUGGGUGUAAGAACAAGUGUUCAAUGGGCCUCAGUGUAAGUUAAGAGCACCUCCUGAAAAUAGUGAUGAUUCACUAACGACAAUUAUGAUUCCUGAGACAGACAGUGAGGAACGUUGCUGAAAUAAGUCAGCUAUCAAUGAGUAAU